GAUGAACGCUGGCGGCGUGCCUAAUACAUGCAAGUCGAGCGAACGGACGAGAAGCUUGCUUCUCUGAUGUUAGCGGCGGACGGGUGAGUAACACGUGGAUAACCUACCUAUAAGACUGGGAUAACUUCGGGAAACCGGAGCUAAUACCGGAUGAUAUUUUGAACCGCAUGGUUCAAAAGUGAAAGACGGUCUUGCUGUCACUUAUAGAUGGAUCCGCGCUGCAUUAGCUAGUUGGUAAGGUAACGGCUUACCAAGACAACGAUGCAUAGCCGACCUGAGAGGGCGAUCGGCCACACUGGAACUGAGACACGGUCCAGACUCCUACGGGAGGCAGCAGUAGGGAAUCUUCCGCAAUGGGCGAAAGCCUGACGGAGCAACGCCGCGUGAGUGAUGAAGGUCUUCGGAUCGUAAAACUCUGUUAUUAGGGAAGAACAUAUGUGUAAGUAACUGUGCACAUCUUGACGGUACCUAAUCAGAAAGCCACGGCUAACUACGUG
Molecule: ribosomal RNA, 497 nt
Filed under: uncultured bacterium
Lineage: Bacteria
Description: partial 16S ribosomal RNA
Rfam family: Bacterial small subunit ribosomal RNA
Source: RNAcentral